UGGGGAAUUUUGGACAAUGGGCGAAAGCCUGAUCCAGCAAUGCCGCGUGUGUGAAGAAGGCCUUCGGGUUGUAAAGCACUUUUGUCCGGAAAGAAAUCCUUGGCUCUAAUACAGUCGGGGGAUGACGGUACCGGAAGAAUAAGCACCGGCUAACUACGUGCCAGCAGCCGCGGUAAUACGUAGGGUGCAAGCGUUAAUCGGAAUUACUGGGCGUAAAGUGUGCGCAGGCGGUUUGCUAAGACCGAUGUGAAAUCCCCGGGCUCAACCUGGGAACUGCAUUGGUGACUGGCAGGCUAGAGUAUGGCAGAGGGGGUAGAAUUCCACGUGUAGCAGUGAAAUGCGUAGAGAUGUGGAGGAAUACCGAUGGUGAAGGCAGCCCCCUGGGCCAAUACUGACGCUCAUGCACGAAAGCGUGGGGAGCAAACAGGAUUAGAUACCCUGGUAGUCCACGCCCUAAACGAUGUCAACUAGUUGUUGGGGAUUCAUUUCCUUAGUAACGUAGCUAACGCGUGAAGUUGACCGCCUGGGGAGUACGGUCGCAAGAUUAAAACUUAAAUGAAUUGACGGGGUCAUAGCUGUUU
RNAcentral lists this ribosomal RNA (581 nucleotides) under uncultured bacterium. RNAcentral's name for it is "partial 16S ribosomal RNA". It matches the Rfam family "Bacterial small subunit ribosomal RNA", at positions 355 to 935 of the family's 1533-position model. The record is from RNAcentral.